Molecule: ribosomal RNA, 494 nt
Filed under: uncultured bacterium
Lineage: Bacteria
Description: partial 16S ribosomal RNA
Rfam family: Bacterial small subunit ribosomal RNA
Source: RNAcentral
GACGAACGCUGGCGGCGUGCUUAACACAUGCAAGUCGAACGGUGAAGCGCCUUCCUUUUUGGUGGGUGUGGAUGAGUGGCGAACGGGUGAGUAACACGUGAGUAACCUGCCCCCUUCUUCUGGAUAACCGCAUGAAAGAGUGGCUAAUACGGGAUAUUCUGGGUCUGUCGCAUGAUGGGUCUGGGAAAGAUAUUGUUUCGGUGGGGGAUGGGCUCGCGGCCUAUCAGCUUGUUGGUGGGGUGAUGGCCUACCAAGGCGGUGACGGGUAGCCGGCCUGAGAGGGUGGACGGUCACACUGGGACUGAGACACGGCCCAGCCUCCUACGGGAGGCAGCAGUGGGGAAUAUUGCACAGUGGGCGCAAGGCUGAUGCAGCGACGCCGCGUGAGGGAUGGAGGCCUUCGGGUUGUGAACCUCUUUCGCCAGUGAAGCGGGCCUGCCUCGUUUGUGGGUGGGUUGACGGUAGCUGGAUAAGAAGCGCCGGCUAACUACGUG